Molecule: non-coding RNA, 33 nt
Organism: Chryseobacterium gambrini
Lineage: Bacteria; Pseudomonadati; Bacteroidota; Flavobacteriia; Flavobacteriales; Weeksellaceae
Source: Rfam
AAUGCGAAAUCCGAAAAGCAUAAAGAGUAGGAA